This 84-nucleotide ribosomal RNA is filed under the name Pseudomonas aeruginosa. RNAcentral describes it as "partial 16S ribosomal RNA". Lineage: Bacteria; Pseudomonadati; Pseudomonadota; Gammaproteobacteria; Pseudomonadales; Pseudomonadaceae. The record is from RNAcentral.
UGAGCCAAGUUUAGGGUUUUCUCAAAACCCAAGCAGUGUUGAACUGAAGAGUUUGAUCAUGGCUCAGAUUGAACGCUGGCGGCA